AUGCAGAGACCGGUGAGCAUUGCCAUUGCCCAGCGGCCAGGUAAAGAGCAGAGCAGUGAGGCUGAGCCGAGAGGUCCGGGGCAGCUGAGGAAGAGCAGGAUGGGCUUCUCCUUCUUCGCCUCUCGCGCUGCCGCCAGGUUCCUGCAGGACAUCCGGCGCCCCUCCUCCGCCGGCGUCUCCACCGCGGCGCUCCUCCUCACGGCCGCCAGCGGCGGAGGCAUCGUGGCCUAUGCCGAUUCCGCCAGGGCGGAGGAGGCUCCGGAGCCACCGCCCAGGAAGAAGAAGGUGGUGGUUCUCGGCACCGGCUGGGCCGGCACCUCCUUCCUCAAGAACCUCGACUCCUCCCGCUACGAGGUGAAGGUCAUCUCGCCCCGUAACUACUUCGCGUUCACGCCCCUGCUCCCCAGCGUCACCUGCGGGACCGUGGAGGCGCGCAGCGUCGUCGAGCCGAUACGGAGGAUGUUCGAGAAGAAGGGGAAGGAUGUCGCGUAUUAUGAAGCAGAGUGCUUCAAGAUCGAUCCGACGAAGAAAGCCGUCCACUGCCGCUCUGCCGUUGGGACUAAUUUGGAUGGGAAUGGCGAUUUCAUGCUUGAUUAUGAUUACCUGGUCGUCGCUCUUGGGGCUACUGUCAAUACAUUUAACACUCCUGGCGUGAUGGAGCAUUGCCACUUUCUGAAGGAAGUGGAGGAUGCCCAGAAGAUUCGGAAGAGUGUGAUAGACUGCUUUGAAAGGGCGUCAAUUCCUAACAUCAGCGAAGAGGAGAAAAGGAAGAUCCUUCACUUUGUGAUUAUUGGUGGUGGACCUACUGGGGUUGAAUUUGCUGCGGAGUUGCAUGAUUUUCUUGUCGAAGAUCUGGUGAAGCUGUAUCCUGCAAUUGCACAAUUUGUGAAGAUAACAAUUAUUCAAUCAGGAGAACAUAUAUUGAAUACGUUUGACCAAAGGAUAGCUGUGUUUGCUGAAUCAAAGUUCCAAAGAGAUGGCAUCGAGUUGAGUACAGGAUUCAGAGUGAUAAAGGUCUCCGAUGAUUCAAUUACAGUGAAGUGCAAAUCAUCUGGUGUAGAAACAUUGGUGCCGUAUGGAAUGGCUAUUUGGUCUGCGGGUAUUGGUACUCGCCCCGUCAUUACAGACUUCAUGAAUCAAGUUGGUCAGGGCAAACGACGUGCCUUGGCAACUAAUGAAUGGUUAAGAGUUCCUGAGUGUGAUAGUGUCUAUGCAAUUGGUGACUGUUCUUCAAUAAGUCAAAGGAAAAUAAUGGAGGACAUUUCAACAAUAUUUAAAGUAGCAGACAAGGAUAACUCUGGCACCUUGACACUGAAAGAAAUAAACGAUGUUCUAGAAGAUAUUUGUAUAAGAUACCCUCAAGUAGAACUGUAUAUGAAAAGUAUGCACAUGGUCGACAUUGCUGAUUUGAUAAAAGGUGGCGUAGGUGAUUCCAACAAGGAGUCGAUGGUGGUUAACAUAGAGGAGUUCAAAAAAGCUCUGUGUCAUGUCGACUCCCAAGUUAAAACUGUUCCGGCGACUGCUCAGGUUGCUGCGCAACAAGGGUAUUAUCUUGCUGACUGCUUUAACAAAAAGGAUCACUGCGUAGAGCAUCCAGAAGGUCCGUUGCGCCUGACGGGGUCAGGGGAGGGGCAUCACAAUUUCCGCCCAUUCCGGUACAAGCAUCUUGGGCAAUUCGCGCCCUUGGGCGGGGAGCAAGCCGCGGCAGAGCUCCCGGGCGACUGGGUCUCCAUGGGCCACAGCACCCAGUGGCUUUGGUACUCGGUGUACGCAAGCAAGCAGGUGAGCUGGCGCACUCGGGUCCUGGUGGUAUCCGACUGGACCCGGAGGUUCAUAUUCGGGAGGGACUCGAGCCGGAUCUAG
This 1863-nucleotide ribosomal RNA is filed under the name Triticum aestivum (bread wheat). Its description in RNAcentral is "partial small subunit ribosomal RNA". The record is from RNAcentral. Lineage: Eukaryota; Viridiplantae; Streptophyta; Magnoliopsida; Poales; Poaceae.